RNAcentral lists this ribosomal RNA (832 nucleotides) under Usnea dasopoga. Its description in RNAcentral is "LSU rRNA". It matches the Rfam family "Eukaryotic large subunit ribosomal RNA", at positions 71 to 920 of the family's 3401-position model. The record is from RNAcentral. Lineage: Eukaryota; Fungi; Ascomycota; Lecanoromycetes; Lecanorales; Parmeliaceae.
GGGAUUGCCUCAGUAACGGCGAGUGAAGCGGCAACAGCUCAAAUUUGAAAUCUGGCCCCGUCGGGGUCCGAGUUGUAAUUUGUAGAGAGUGUUUCGGGUGAGACCACGGUCUAAGUCUAUUGGAACAUGGCGUCAUAGAGGGUGAGAAUCCCGUAUGUGACCGUGGCUCGAACCCAUGUGAAGCCUCUUCGACGAGUCGAGUUGUUUGGGAAUGCAGCUCAAAAUGGGUGGUAAAUUUCAUCUAAAGCUAAAUACUGGCUGGAGACCGAUAGCGCACAAGUAGAGUGAUCGAAAGAUGAAAAGCACUUUGGAAAGAGAGUCAAAAAGUACGUGAAAUUGUUGAAAGGGAAGCGCUUGCAACCAGACCUGUCCGUAGGUGAUCAGCCGCUGUUCUCAGUGGUGCACUCGCUCUGCGACCAGGCCAGCAUCGGUUCCGGCGGUCGGAUAAAGGCCUUGGGAAUGUAGCUCCCUUCGGGGAGUCUUAUAGCCCUCGGUGCAAUGCGGCCAGCCGGGACCGAGGACCGCGCUUCGGCUAGGAUGCUGGCGUAAUGGUUGUAAGCGACCCGUCUUGAAACACGGACCAAGGAGUCUAACAUCUAUGCGAGUGUUUGGGUGUUAAACCCAUGCGCGGAAUGAAAGUGAACGGAGGUGAGAACCCUUUAGGGCGCAUCAUCGACCGAUCCAGAUGUCUUCGGAUGGAUUUGAGUAUGAGCAUAGCUGUUGGGACCCGAAAGAUGGUGAACUAUGCCUGAAUAGGGUGAAGCCAGAGGAAACUCUGGUGGAGGCUCGCAGCGGUUCUGACGUGCAAAUCGAUCGUCAAAUUUGGGUAUAG